UACAGGGGGUGCAAACGUUGCUCGGAAUCAUUGGGCGUAAAGCGCACGUAGGCGGUUCGUUAUGUCGGAUGUGAAAGCCCUUGGCUUAACCGAGGAAGUGCAUCCGAAACUGGCGAGCUAGAGUACUAAAGAGGAUCGCGGAAUUCCCGGUGUAGAGGUGAAAUUCGUAGAUAUCGGGAGGAACACCGGUGGCGAAGGCGGCGAUCUGGGUAGAUAUUGACGCUGAGGUGCGAAAGCGUGGGGAGCAAACAGG
Molecule: ribosomal RNA, 253 nt
Filed under: uncultured bacterium
Lineage: Bacteria
Description: partial 16S ribosomal RNA
Rfam family: Bacterial small subunit ribosomal RNA
Source: RNAcentral